Nothobranchius furzeri (turquoise killifish) is the source of this 771-nucleotide long non-coding RNA. RefSeq lists it as uncharacterized. The record is from RefSeq and is a predicted model, not a curated record. Lineage: Eukaryota; Metazoa; Chordata; Actinopteri; Cyprinodontiformes; Nothobranchiidae.
GUUUCUCUUGAGUGACAGUUCAGUGACCUGGAAGUGAUGUAGCCUCCAAGACAUUUUUUUCCCACCUGGUCAACAACAUGAAUUUUGAGCCCCAUACAGGUUAUUUCUGCUGUCUGUGGUGUCUACUGAGGAUCUAAAGAACCUGUGGAACAUCAGAGACUUUGCAGCUACUGGAGCUAACCUGUGUACUGCUAACUUGCUACAGAGGAAGCAGCAGAAAGCUGAGCUAACAGGCUGUUUUGCAGGUAAUCCUCAGGUGUCAGCAGGAGGUGACUACCUGCACAACGGAGCACUCUGGUUCUGAGCCAGUUGCACCUUUGUGCAGCUCUUUGGGGAGACGAUGCUCAGCAGACACAUGCCUCCAUGUGGUCAGGUGGUGUUGGUGUGAUCUGGGAGGGCACACUCAUGUUGUCAUCUCCUUGUGCCGUCUCCAGGAUCCUGAUGGGAGUUCUCUGUGCCUAUAAAGCAGGAGUAUUUACUUCUGGGCCUGGAGGGCCGGUAUCCAGCACGUUUUAGUUUUAACUCUGUUUCAAUACACCUGAUUUCAGUCAGCAGAUAAUUAACAGGCUUCUGCAGAGCUGCUGCACAGGUAAUUCAACCACUGAUUCAAGUGUGUUGGAGCAGGGAAACAACUAAAACGUGCUGGAUACCAGCCAUCCAGGACUAGAAUUGAAUACCCCUGCUAUAAAGCCUUCCUCCCUCCUCCGGACUUUAAACAUUAGUGUUUUAUUACGGUUUACCUGAUUUAGUAAAUAAAUCUCAAUUUAUAAA